Non-coding RNA from Phrynosoma platyrhinos (Desert horned lizard), 71 nucleotides. Lineage: Eukaryota; Metazoa; Chordata; Lepidosauria; Squamata; Phrynosomatidae. The record is from the annotation of a GenBank genome assembly.
GCCAGUGUGGUGUAGUGGUUUGAAUGUCAGACUAUGGUUCUGGAGACCAGUGUUCAAUCCCAGUUUAGUCA